This 85-nucleotide ribosomal RNA is filed under the name Pinus armandii. Its description in RNAcentral is "partial 5.8S ribosomal RNA". It matches the Rfam family "5.8S ribosomal RNA", at positions 73 to 154 of the family's 154-position model. From Rfam's summary of the family: 5.8S ribosomal RNA (5.8S rRNA) is a component of the large subunit of the eukaryotic ribosome. It is transcribed by RNA polymerase I as part of the 45S precursor that also contains 18S and 28S rRNA. Functionally, it is thought that 5.8S rRNA may be involved in ribosome translocation. Lineage: Eukaryota; Viridiplantae; Streptophyta; Pinopsida; Pinales; Pinaceae. The record is from RNAcentral.
UGCAGAAUCCCGUGAAUCAUCGAGUUUUUGAACGCAAUUUGCGCCCGAGGCUUCGGUCGAGGGCACGUCUGUCUGGGCGUCGCAU